AUUGAACGCUGGCGGCAGGCCUAACACAUGCAAGUCGAGCGGAUGAGGGGUGCUUGCACCCCGAUUCAGCGGCGGACGGGUGAGUAAUGCCUAGGAAUCUGCCCGAUAGUGGGGGACAACGUUUCGAAAGGAACGCUAAUACCGCAUACGUCCUACGGGAGAAAGUGGGGGCUCUUCGGACCUCACGCUAUCGGAUGAGCCUGGGUCGGAUUAGCUAGUUGGUGGGGUAACGGCUCACCAAGGCGACGAUCCGUAGCUGGUCUGAGAGGAUGAUCAGCCACACUGGAACUGAGACACGGUCCAGACUCCUACGGGAGGCAGCAGUGGGGAAUAUUGGACAAUGGGCGAAAGCCUGAUCCAGCCAUGCCGCGUGUGUGAAGAAGGUCUUCGGAUUGUAAAGCACUUCAAGUUGGGAGGAAGGGUUGUAAGCUAAUAUCUUGCAGCUUUGACGUUACCAACAGAAUAAGCACCGGCUAACUCUGUGCCAGCCGCCGCAGUAA
Molecule: ribosomal RNA, 500 nt
Filed under: uncultured bacterium
Lineage: Bacteria
Description: partial 16S ribosomal RNA
Rfam family: Bacterial small subunit ribosomal RNA
Source: RNAcentral